RNAcentral lists this ribosomal RNA (626 nucleotides) under uncultured Parvularcula sp. RNAcentral describes it as "bacterial SSU rRNA". It matches the Rfam family "Bacterial small subunit ribosomal RNA", at positions 14 to 688 of the family's 1533-position model. Lineage: Bacteria; Pseudomonadati; Pseudomonadota; Alphaproteobacteria; Parvularculales; Parvularculaceae. The record is from RNAcentral.
GAUUCCUGGCUCAGGACGAACGCUGGCGGCAGGCUUAACACAUGCAAGUCGAACGAUCCUUCGGGAUAGUGGCAGACGGGUGCGUAACACGUGGGAACCUACCCUAAGGUACGGAAUAACUCAGGGAAACUUGUGCUAAUACCGUAUAUGUCUUCGGAUGAAAGAUUUAUCGCCUUAGGAUGGGCCCGCGGCUGAUUAGGUAGUUGGUGAGGUAAAAGCUCACCAAGCCGACGAUCAGUAGCUGGUCUGAGAGGAUGAUCAGCCACACUGGGACUGAGACACGGCCCAGACUCCUACGGGAGGCAGCAGUGAGGAAUAUUGGACAAUGGGGGCAACCCUGAUCCAGCCAUGCCGCGUGAGUGAUGAAGGCCUUAGGGUUGUAAAACUCUUUCACCGGCGAAGAUAAUGACGGUAACCGGAGAAGAAGCCCCGGCUAAUUUCGUGCCAGCAGCCGCGGUAAUACGAAAGGGGCUAGCGUUGUUCGGAAUUACUGGGCGUAAAGCGCGCGUAGGCGGAUUGCCAAGUUGGGGGUGAAAUCCCGGGGCUCAACCCCGGAACUGCCUCCAAAACUGGUAGUCUAGAGGAUGUGAGAGGAUAGUGGGAAUUCCGAGUGUAGAGGUGAAAUU